This is a long non-coding RNA of Pecten maximus, 493 nucleotides long. RefSeq lists it as uncharacterized. The record is from RefSeq and is a predicted model, not a curated record. NCBI's taxonomy places the organism in Eukaryota, Metazoa, Mollusca, Bivalvia, Pectinida, Pectinidae. The transcript has 2 exons.
GAACGCAACUCAGCAAUUAACACCUGCACUUGCUUUGCACGCUCGUUGCGUUCCCACACCUGUCUACGUCACUUCCCUUCUGGCUUUCUAUCUCUCUCCCUAUCAUUCCAUUGGACGUCGGCGCAAGCGGUCCAGCAGCGCAAAGCACCCAUAUCGGUCAUCGAGAGAUUACUGAGCUGAAUUUGUCGCCAUAGAAGCCUGCUGGAGUUAUACCACACCAAAUGCCAUGAUACCAUGCAUCCACAUAUGACCUCAGAUGUUGUGUGGAUGCUCUACCAACCAACGAACCAGCGACAGAAACAUGACGCUUUUCAUGUGGUGAACAUGUUUACAUUUCUAUGGAUAUUACCGUACAGGAAAAUGUGUUUUCUCCUGUGGGCCAUCUUCUCCACUAGACUAUGAAAAGCAGGAUUAAUGUGUGAUUUUGAUGUAGAGAUGCAUAUCUUGUUAUUCACGUGUGAAAAUGAUGUACUUAAUAUACGUAAAUUUUAAG